This 253-nucleotide ribosomal RNA is filed under the name uncultured bacterium. Its description in RNAcentral is "partial 16S ribosomal RNA". It matches the Rfam family "Bacterial small subunit ribosomal RNA", at positions 524 to 776 of the family's 1533-position model. The record is from RNAcentral.
UACGUAGGCAGCAAGCGUUGUUCGGAGUUACUGGGCGUAAAGGGUGUGUAGGCGGUUUUUUAGGUUUGGUGUGAAAUCUCCCGGCUCAACUGGGAGGGUGCGCCGAAUACUGAAAGACUAGAGUGCGGGAGAGGAAAGUGGAAUUCCUGGUGUAGCGGUGAAAUGCGUAGAUAUCAGGAGGAACACCGGUGGUGUAGACGGCUUUCUGGACCGUAACUGGCGCUGAGACACGAAAGCGUGGGUAGCAAACAGG